RNAcentral lists this ribosomal RNA (253 nucleotides) under uncultured bacterium. RNAcentral describes it as "partial 16S ribosomal RNA". It matches the Rfam family "Bacterial small subunit ribosomal RNA", at positions 524 to 776 of the family's 1533-position model. The record is from RNAcentral.
GACGGAGGAUGCAAGUGUUAUCCGGAAUCACUGGGCGUAAAGCGUCUGUAGGUGGUUUAAUAAGUCAACUGUUAAAUCUUGAGGCUCAACCUCAAAAUCGCAGUCGAAACUAUUAGGCUAGAGUAUAGUAGGGGUAAAGGGAAUUUCCAGUGGAGCGGUGAAAUGCGUAGAGAUUGGAAAGAACACCGAUGGCGAAAGCACUCUGCUGGGCCGACACUGACACUGAGAGACGAAAGCUAGGGGAGCGAAUGGG